CCCUUCUGCCCUGUUGCUCUCUUGUUCAUGGUCCUCUCAGAUCGACACAUCUGCUUGCAUUUAAAACUAAAGAUGAUACGUGGAGAGGAAGGGGGGAGACUUAUAGUGUUGUGCUAUUUUGCUAUCCUUAGAGGUUUUCGUUUAGGGGGUUGUAGUAUUCGUUUGUAGGUUUUAACGUGGCUUGGAUCUGGUGUGUGUUGUCAAGCCUGUGUUACCCUAAU
Molecule: non-coding RNA, 221 nt
Organism: Pelobates cultripes (western spadefoot toad)
Lineage: Eukaryota; Metazoa; Chordata; Amphibia; Anura; Pelobatidae
Source: the annotation of a GenBank genome assembly